UACCGCGGCUGCUGGCACGGAAUUAGCCGGAGCUUCUUCUGUUGGUAACGUCAUUAUCUUCCCUACUGAAAGCGCUUUACAACCCGCAGGCCUUCUUCACACACGCGGUAUUGCUGGAUCACGCUUGCGCCCAUUGUCCAAUAUUCCCGACUGCUGCCUCCCGUAUGAGUCCGGGCCGUGUCUCACUCCCGAUGUGGCUGGCCAUCCUCUCACACCAGAUAAAGAUCGUCGCCUUGGUAGGCCUUUACCCUACCAACUAGCUAAUCUUACGCGGGCUCAUCUAAUAGCGCAUUGCUGCUUUCCCCCAUAAGGCGUAUGCGGUAUUAAUCCAGCUUUCGCUGGGCUGUCCCCCACUACUACGUAGAUUCCCACGUGUUACUCACCCGUCCGCCACUGAAGUCCGAAGACUUCCGUUCGACUUGCAUGUCUUAAGCAUACCGACAGCGUUCAAUCUGAGCCAUGAUCAAACUC
RNAcentral lists this ribosomal RNA (471 nucleotides) under uncultured Gammaproteobacteria bacterium. RNAcentral's name for it is "partial 16S ribosomal RNA". The record is from RNAcentral. Lineage: Bacteria; Pseudomonadati; Pseudomonadota; Gammaproteobacteria.